GUCUCUGUGGCCCAAUUGGUUAGCGCGUUCGGCUGUUAACCGAAAGGUUGGUGGUUCAAGCCCAGCCAGGGACG
Molecule: non-coding RNA, 74 nt
Organism: Ciona savignyi (Pacific transparent sea squirt)
Lineage: Eukaryota; Metazoa; Chordata; Ascidiacea; Phlebobranchia; Cionidae
Source: Rfam